RNAcentral lists this ribosomal RNA (253 nucleotides) under uncultured bacterium. RNAcentral's name for it is "partial 16S ribosomal RNA". It matches the Rfam family "Bacterial small subunit ribosomal RNA", at positions 524 to 776 of the family's 1533-position model. The record is from RNAcentral.
UACGGAGGGUGCAAGCGUUAAUCGGAAUUACUGGGCGUAAAGCGUGCGCAGGCGGUUUGUUAAGUCCGAUGUGAAAUCCCCGAGCUCAACUUGGGAAUUGCAAUGGAUACUGGCAAGCUGGAGUAUGGUAGAGGAAGGUGGAAUUCCCGGUGUAGCAGUGAAAUGCGUAGAGAUCGGGAGGAACACCAGUGGCGAAGGCGGCCUUCUGGACCAAUACUGACGCUCAUGCACGAAAGCGUGGGGAGCAAACAGG